GCUGGGUGUGGUGAUGCAUGCCUGUAGUCCCAGAUACUCAGGAGGCUGAGGCAGGAGGAUCACUUGAGCCCAGGGGGUGGAGGCUACAGUGAGCUGUGAUUGCACCACUGCCCUCCAGCUUGGGCAACAGAGUGAGACCCUGUCUCAA
Molecule: non-coding RNA, 148 nt
Filed under: Gorilla gorilla gorilla (western lowland gorilla)
Lineage: Eukaryota; Metazoa; Chordata; Mammalia; Primates; Hominidae
Source: Rfam by way of RNAcentral